AAAAAAAAAUCGUGGCGCGGCCUUGGCGGGGUUGGAGGCGAGGAAGGUUGGGGGUGCGUGGACGAGGGCAAGGGCGAGGGCGAGGGCGAGGGCUAGAGAAUGAGGGUGAGAGGCGAGACGGACCGUUUCCGCCUCCGCUCUGCCGGCGAGAAAAAAAAAGAACGAGAGAAACGAAGAGGAGAGAGAAAGAGGAAAGAGGAAAGAGAAAAAGUAAAAAGGGUAUUUUGGUCAGUCUGCUGAAAAAGUGGACCGAAUCUGCAAAAACGAAAAAGGUGGUCCGAUUUUGCAAAAGCCCAAAAUAAGUAGAUUUUUUAUGCAAAUUGGCCAAAAAUCUUUAUAGUA
This 342-nucleotide long non-coding RNA is filed under the name Ananas comosus (pineapple). RNAcentral describes it as "long non-coding RNA (ACOM_LNC024925)". The record is from RNAcentral. Lineage: Eukaryota; Viridiplantae; Streptophyta; Magnoliopsida; Poales; Bromeliaceae.